RNAcentral lists this long non-coding RNA (604 nucleotides) under Brassica rapa (field mustard). RNAcentral's name for it is "long non-coding RNA (BRAP_LNC002240)". The record is from RNAcentral. Lineage: Eukaryota; Viridiplantae; Streptophyta; Magnoliopsida; Brassicales; Brassicaceae.
GACACUCGAAUAAAAUCUUUCGCUACAUAACUCAGCCGAGUUUUUGCAGGUGCCUAACAGAUGUCAACUAAAUUAUACAAUACAUUGUAAUGGACUAGUGGGAGUACUACUUAUGAUUUUCUAUUGGAAAUUUUUAAAUUAAAUCAUUGAUGUAUAAUGUUUUAGAUUUGAAACUAACAUUUUAUUGACUUCAAUUGAUUAAUGGUCAAUCAUCAAUAUGCGAGCUAGUAUAUAUGACUAGUUUGGAAACCCCAAUAAUGAAAAAGGUGGUUUUAAAACCACUGAACUAGAAGACAGAGAUGCUGUUACAAAAAAAAAAAAAAAAAAGACAGAGAUGCUAGAAAGCUCUUAACACAUUCUUUAUAGUUGUGUAUACUUAUCAUAUCUCUUUCCAGCUGGGAUCCUAUCGAUCAUACAAACUUAGAAACAUAACACAACGUCCAAGAAAUUGUUGCGGCCAAGACCACUGAGAUUGUGAAAAGAGCGUUGGUUCCAGAACUAUUGAUAGUUACCUCUGCCACGACAGUUUAUUUGUUUGUGUUCGAGUAAUCUUGUUUCCUGUUUUAUCACUCCUAAAUUAUCGUUUCUCAACCAAGCACUAUCC